AGAAAAGAUGAUUAGAUGGGGGGGCCAGAGACCAUAAACACGCACAUGCUCCACUAGGGAAGGGAGUGGAGGCCUUCACCUAACAAAGAUUUGUCAAGCACCUACUGCUCACUGGGUACUCAGGACAUGAAGGUGAGAACGGGCACAGCGUCUGUCCUGAGGAGCUUACAGUCAAUGGAGGAUCAGCCAUCACUCAAAUAGUCACCAACAAUUGCAAACCGAUACAACAGCAAUGAAGUGAAAGGUCCCAUGACCGCACGUAACACCGGGUCCUAAACCAGCCCAGGGCAGGAAGUGAGUGGCUAUUUAUUAUGAGACCUGAGGGUAAGGGGGAGUAAAGUGGGUGAAAGGAUGGAGGUGGCGAGGAGGGUGUCUGGGAGGAAGGACCAGCAGGUGCAAAGGCCCUGAGGCGGGAAGAUGCUUGGUGUGUGUUAGGCCCUGGUGGCUGCUGGGGGAGGUGGGACUGUGGCAGAGCAGAUUGGAAGCAGGGAGACCUGUUGGCAGGUGCUGCCCAUCAGUCUAGGCAUGGGAUGAUGCAGACCGGAGAGGGUGAAGUCCAGAGGUAUUUGGAGACAUGCCUGGUGCGAGAUUGGACAUGGAGGGGAUGGGGAAGGGGGUGAGGAAGGUGUCAAGGAUGCUCCCUCAUCAGCUGCUGCAGUUUCCUAUCAAGGAAGAAGGGUAGGGCUGACAAAGAGAGAGGACCCCGUGUUUAGCCUUGAACCUGUUAGUCUGAGGUGCUCUUGAGACCUGCAGGUUGGGGUGUAAGUGGCCUUUGGGCCCAGAGCUCCGGGGAGCAGUCUGGCCUGGAGGACAGGCUCACCCUGGUGCAAUGGAGGCAAAUUAGAUGCAGGAUCUCCUGGGGCUUCGAGCCUAAUGAGGGAGAUGGGUACCGAGGAGUAUUUGCCAUCCAUUGUGCCGGUUAGUGCUGCAAGGUGCUCUCACGCACUGAGUCGGGCCCUCGCCGGAGCGCCGGGUGAAAAGUGGAAGCCUUCUGUCUGGUGGGCUCGCGCUGACAAAGCCUUUCUCUAUCCCGCUUCACAUUUACCUGCCCUCCCCCCCAGGGAGGUAGGCAUCGGCUGCAUGCUUGCCUUGCAAAGGGGGAACGGGGUGGGGUGACUUGUCCGAGUGCCCUUGCUGGCAAGACUUGGAGGUGGGGCUUAAACCCCCGCUUCCGGUGCCAGACCUCCAUCUCUCUCCAGGAGGACCAUGUGACCUCUUGCUCCUGUCUAGGAAGAGGGUGAAACCUGGGUGCAGGCGGGCAUGUGUGUGUGUUCCUGGGUGCAGCCACGGAUCUGCCCAUCCCAGCUUUCAGCCACUCCUCGGCUGGAGGAGUCUGUGCAGAUACAGGACACUCCGGCUUCUAGAAGCCCAGUUUUCCUACUUCAGUUGUGGGAGGUGGAGAUAAGGCAGCGGACAGUUCAGGAAAUUUGAACACAAUUGGAAAAAAAGGAUGAGUGGAAAGCAGGAAAUGAAGCGCAAGAUACUCAAUGAACACCCGGAAAAGCUUUGCCCAAACCCCUAAGCGGAGCUGAGGUCAGCAUUUGGAACUUGUGAGAGAUGCAAUGAGCAGCAAAGUCCUUCUGAUCCUUCAAGGAGGGAGGCGGGGGAGGGGAAGAAAGACCUAGUGGAUUGCCUUGCUGAGGGGCCCUGCCUGGGCCUGGAAAGAAAAUUCAACUGGGGGUCAGGGGCCAUGUGCUCGAAUCACUCAUUCCUCGACAACAAUCAUUGAGUAAGUUUUUCGAGUGCUGGAGGAUGAGUGGGGAAGAGUGAAGACGAGCUGCCCCUGUCCCCAAGGGGCUCCCUCUGUAGCUAAAUUGUCCAGUUCAGGGACCUCAGCCUGCCCGCGGGGCCCCCUAUUUCCACCGGGACAGCGACAGCCACACAAGUGACUGAGGGCCUCCCAGCUCCAUCACCUGGGGAGGUGACAGUGUUUCCUCACGGCCUCAGUGAUGAGUCCACCUGGUUGGGUGUCCCUGGGUCUGGCUGAAUGAGCCCUGUCCGAUCCUAAUUGCUUGCUAAUGGCUGUAAACAUUGCUCUCAUUUUCAAAACAAAGGUGAGAGCUUUUCUCUCUGUGGUAUCCAGAGAGCAAGGGUUUCAGGACCUGGGAGAAACUGGGAGUCUGAGGCAAUUCUGGCUGAUUCUGGCUGUUUCUCUGCAUGUGCUUUGGAGGCGUGCCCAGGGGUAGGACCCCCGAGUGUGGGAUGCCAGGGCUGUGCCAGGUCAUGCUCCCAGCAGCCCCGCGACCAUGGGAACCGCACCGUGGACUCUCUGCCAUCCAGCUUCCCGCUGGGGAUGCCAUGGCGGGAGGCUGAGAGACGAGGAGACUGAGGAUGCGGCGCUGGCUCCAGGCUCCCUCCCUCCGGCGCCCCCAGGCAGGCUGGGCCUGGGCUGGUGUCCCUGCUCCUAUGCUCCUAUCCAGGCGUCCUUUCCACCUGCUGUGCUGGUGAUCCUGGUAACGGCCACCUCCUCUGGCUGGCUCAGGCCCUUGUGGGCUAGCUCUGAGGCCCUUGUGACGCCCUGCAUGCUGUCUACAUCUCUGUAAACAGAGCGUCUGUUAAAAUUCUCUUCAUAUUACCCAGUUUGAGUGGGCCCUCUCUUUCCUACUGGGACCCUGACCAAUGUAUCCUGGGAGUCUAAACUCGGAUGUCAGAGGACUAUUGACGGGAACGUGGGGGGAGCUGGAUGAGGGGGCACAUUGGUGGCUGGGUGGCGGUGGGCAGCAGGGCGGGCCUCUGUGUGGGAUCUUCGGGGAAUCCCUGAAUCCCCCCUGGGCCUCGAUUUCCUCAUCCACGGAGCCAGGUGGGUGGACCCAUGCCCCCCAGACUCUGAUCCUCGUGGCUCGAGUCGGGAUGGGAAAGGAGAGGACUCUGCUUCUGGGCUUUUCCCUCAUUUUUCAAACUGAUGCUUUGGAGGGAACAUCCAACAUUCUGAUUCACUCGGAUUCCGUCUCCUUCAGAAUUCUGUCCAAGAAGACUUACUUUAAAAAUAUUUCCCCUCGCUGAAUCACAUAAACACUGGACCUUGGUGCUGUCGGGAGCAAAUUCCACUUUAGUCUCAGAGGGAGGCUAUUUUGGUGUCCCCAGGAGCCAUGUCUGAGGGGCUCAGAGGCUGUGGCCGCUGCAGAAUGCACAGCAUCACUUUCUCAAGGGCCAAGUUUUGCCUAGUGCGGAACCCCCCACCUCGUAGCCAACUCUAGUCCAGUAUCUUGUGGCUGUGUGUUACAGCCAGGAGGUGUGUCCCAAAGCAAAGGUUGUGGACGGGACGCUGGAUGAUCACUCCUGAUCAGGCCGUGGAGAAAGCCUCCGGGGGUGCUGUGUGUCUUCAACACCUCUCUGGUAUUUGUAACCCCCUUUCAACAAAGGAAGCGGGCCCAGGGCCUGGGCUGGCCCCUCGAGUCUAACCAGACUGCAAUAGCGUGGUUUAUAGUCCAUCGUAUUUAUUUUUACAGUUUUUUUUUUUUUUUUAAUGACAAAUGGUACUAAUUUUCGAUGUAAGUUGGCCAUGUGAAGUUAUGGUUCAAAAGUAAGUCCGUAUUAAAGGAAUAGUUGUACAGGUGACAGAGAGAAGGCAGAAACUGUGCCUUGGAAUGACUGAAUGUGGAAACACGCUAACACAGCUAGCUGGAAACUUGCGUCACAAACCGGGAGGCCUGGCCUGGUGGGUGGGCUCGUGGGCUCCGCAGCAGACCUGGAACUGGUGCCUCUCCGUCAACCUUGUUAUUUAACCUCGUUUUUCUUGACUGUAAAAUGACGGUUAGUAUAAAAAUAGCCCCCAGCUCCUCGGGCGGCUGGGAGGAGGCCAUGAGUCACUGCGUGUCAAAUGCAGGAAGCACGUGGUGGAUGUGUUCCCGGAUGCUCGCAGCUUUUCCUGCACUCCCUGAGAGGGCCCGUCUGCUUCAGCCACACCACGGCAUGUGGGGUUAGGAGGAGUCCCUUCCACGUGGCCUGCUGUCCAGCUCGCAGACCCAGCUCAGGGUUCCAGACGCUGAUUCCACGGCUGGAUGGAGAGACCAGCUGUCACUGGGACAUCACCUGCCUGCCAAUCCAGGGGGACCCCUGAGACUGUGCAGUUCUGUCCUCUGCGGAGGGUAAGUGCAAUCUCUCAGACCACCAGCAAGAUGGAGUCAAGGACAGAGAUGGAAAGACCGAGGUCUCCUGGACCCCAGCCCAGAACCCUUUCCCGGACCCCUCUCCAGAAUAAAUGUUCCCUUUAAAAUCU
Non-coding RNA from Equus caballus (horse), 4219 nucleotides. The record is from RefSeq and is a predicted model, not a curated record. Lineage: Eukaryota; Metazoa; Chordata; Mammalia; Perissodactyla; Equidae.